GUCUGCGUAGAUUAGAGAUUUAUUAAAUUAUAAAGCUGUUAACUUUAAGAGGGUAUUUGGCCCGUGGACG
This 70-nucleotide transfer RNA is filed under the name Haematoloechus sp. CW13H. RNAcentral describes it as "tRNA-Asn". Lineage: Eukaryota; Metazoa; Platyhelminthes; Trematoda; Plagiorchiida; Haematoloechidae. The record is from RNAcentral.